RNAcentral lists this ribosomal RNA (484 nucleotides) under uncultured bacterium. Its description in RNAcentral is "partial 16S ribosomal RNA". It matches the Rfam family "Bacterial small subunit ribosomal RNA", at positions 28 to 507 of the family's 1533-position model. The record is from RNAcentral.
AUUGAACGCUGGCGGCAUGCUUUACACAUGCAAGUCGAACGGCAGCGCGGGCUUCGGCCUGGCGGCGAGUGGCGAACGGGUGGGUAAUGCAUCGGAACGUGCCCAGUAGUGGGGGAUAGCCCGGCGAAAGCCGGAUUAAUACCGCAUACGACCUGAGGGUGAAAGCGGGGGACCGAAAGGCCUCGCGCUAUUGGAGCGGCCGAUGUCGGAUUAGCUAGUUGGUGGGGUAAAGGCUUACCAAGGCGACGAUCCGUAGCUGGUCUGAGAGGACGACCAGCCACACUGGGACUGAGACACGGCCCAGACUCCUACGGGAGGCAGCAGUGGGGAAUUUUGGACAAAGGGGGCAACCCUGAUCCAGCCAUGCCGCGUGCGGGAAGAAGGCCUUCGGGUUGUAAACCGCUUUUGUUCGGGAAGAAAUCCUCUGGGCUAAUACCCCGGGGGGAUGACGGUACCGGAAGAAUAAGCACCGGCUAACUACGUG